UUCAGUUCCCCACAGGGAACUUAGCUGCAUAACUGACACAGUCAUGUCUCAACCCCCCACACCACCCCUACCUGAGGACAUCACACACAAGUUGCUUACAGAAGUUUCAUAGGUCAUCCAUUGAAAUAUAUAAGCUUGCUAAUAUAUACAAAUAAUUUAAUUUAUCAUGCACAACCUGCUAAACAGAAAGAGAAAAGGUCCUCCAGGAUGGACUGAUUUAUAACACAGAAGCGGUGGGUGUACGAAUGACUGAACCUUUGCUGAGCCUGCUGUUUCCCCACGGUGGACUGUCCCCUCGCCCUGACACCACUUUCCUUCGCUGUGGGGUUCCAAACAUACGUUUGCUCUCCAGAUUCGUUAUGAAUACCCGCAAAAUCCCAGGAGUUUUCGUUCAGGGAUAGUCACAGCGAACCGACUGAAAGUAAUUGACAUGACCCAUAUUCCCUGAUGAGCUAGUCAGAGACGGAGAAUGGAGAAGGUGUUGUUAUGGCUCCUUAAAUCUAACCAGAGAGCCUGUAAGGAUAGCAUGAACAUUUAACCAAGGACAGCAUAAGUGAAAUUACUGCCGUACAUGUCUAUAAAAUAAUGUAUGGAUGUAUUUUAAUAUGUGUUUCUAUUGGAUUCAUUUGUUCCGGCUUUGUUUAUUUUCUUGAUGCUCUUGAGUGGAGCAAUAAAAAAGAUGAAAGGCAAUAUGAGCCUGGAGAGAAGGAGGUAGAAUAAUAAAGCUGCAGUUAUUAA
This is a long non-coding RNA of Podarcis raffonei (Aeolian wall lizard), 738 nucleotides long. RefSeq lists it as uncharacterized. Lineage: Eukaryota; Metazoa; Chordata; Lepidosauria; Squamata; Lacertidae. The record is from RefSeq and is a predicted model, not a curated record. The transcript has 3 exons.